This 1210-nucleotide unclassified non-coding RNA is filed under the name Manduca sexta (tobacco hornworm). RNAcentral's name for it is "granzyme B(G,H), transcript variant X1". Lineage: Eukaryota; Metazoa; Arthropoda; Insecta; Lepidoptera; Sphingidae. The record is from RNAcentral.
GCUCGCACACGGUUCAGACAUGCAAGUGUCGGUGGUAGUGACUCUGUUACUGAAGCUAUUUGUGGCCGAUGCUUCAGAAGCAAAUCAGCUUACUGAAGGUUCUCGAUGCGAAAGAGAUGGUGUCGAGGGCACUUGUAUCAGCAUCUACAAAUGUCAAUCGGUGAUCUUAGACAUCAGAGACAAGAAGCCUCCGCCGACUUGCGGCUUUCAAGGAAAUAAUCCUCUUGUCUGUUGCACCGACUGUAUUGAAGAUCGCGUGGCAAAUAUCAGUUAUGCCGUAAUAGACAAAGCUGCGGGACUGUUAUGGAAAAGAGACAAGAAGUUUUGGGACGUAUGCGUGGAUUACAUCCAUACUCUUCCCUAUGAAUGCAAGCUGCAUGUAACCAGCGACGUCAAAAAGAAAUGGUUUGCAGAAGAGAAAUGUUACCACAUCGUAUUAUUGCCGCGCGCGCCCGCCGGUGGGGAGGACACUAAGAGAGGCGAAAAGCCUUUCAUGGUGCUUCUAGGUUACGGCCCGAAUGUAGAUUCCGCGCAGUGGCUGUGCGGCGGCUCCCUCAUCAGCGACCGCUUUAUCCUCACAGCUGGCCACUGCGUCGCUGCAACAUCUCUAGGCCCAGUAAGAUUCGCGGCUCUGGGUGUAUGGAAACGAGACGAGCCCAAAGAAUUGUGGCAACAGCAUAUAAUCCAGAAAAUCAUCCCUCACCCGGAGUAUCGCCCGCCCCAUAAGUACAAUGAUAUCGCGCUGCUGAAGACUGAAAAACGGUGACUUUAACCGAGUUCACUGAAAAGGAGUGUGCUCUAAGGUACCGUGUCCACCGGCACCUUAGGCAUGGGUACAACCAUACCACUCAGAUGUGCUUUUGGGGAUAAGGAAAAAAUUGUCGAUACGUGUGAGGGUGACAGCGGAGGUCCUCUCAACAGGCCUGGCGGGGAAAUAUCCUACUGUGCGUAUACCAUCAUGGGCGUGACGUCAUUCGGGGUCCCGUGUGGACACAAAGGUAGUGCUGGGAUCUACACGCGAGUCUCGUUCUACCUGCCUUGGAUCGAGAGCAUAGUAUGGCCGUGAACAUCCAAAGUUAAAAAAAAUAUAUAUGGCACAAGUAUGCUGGCUGUCCAUAUCGACUCAGAAGAAGACUGAAUAAUAUGUUAAGCAAGAUUUGAAGAUUGUAAACGCUAGUAUGAAAGUAGCAAUUUCAAAAUUAAAAACGAA